This 575-nucleotide ribosomal RNA is filed under the name Aspergillus panamensis. Its description in RNAcentral is "eukaryotic LSU rRNA". It matches the Rfam family "Eukaryotic large subunit ribosomal RNA", at positions 58 to 648 of the family's 3401-position model. Lineage: Eukaryota; Fungi; Ascomycota; Eurotiomycetes; Eurotiales; Aspergillaceae. The record is from RNAcentral.
AAAGAAACCAACCGGGAUUGCCCCAGUAACGGCGAGUGAAGCGGCAAGAGCUCAAAUUUGAAAUCUGGCCCCUCCGGGGUCCGAGUUGUAAUUUGCAGAGGAUGCUUCGGGUGCGGCCCCCGUCUAAGUGCCCUGGAACGGGCCGUCAGAGAGGGUGAGAAUCCCGUCCUGGGCGGGGUGUCCGUGCCCGUGUGAAGCUCCUUCGACGAGUCGAGUUGUUUGGGAAUGCAGCUCUAAAUGGGUGGUAAAUUUCAUCUAAAGCUAAAUACUGGCCGGAGACCGAUAGCGCACAAGUAGAGUGAUCGAAAGAUGAAAAGCACUUUGAAAAGAGAGUUAAACAGCACGUGAAAUUGUUGAAAGGGAAGCGCUUGCGACCAGACUCGCCCGCGGGGUUCAGCCGGCACUCGUGCCGGUGUACUUCCCCGUGGGCGGGCCAGCGUCGGUUUGGGCGGCCGGUCAAAGGCCUCCGGAAUGUAUCGCCCUCCGGGGCGUCUUAUAGCCGGGGGUGCAAUGCGGCCAGCCCGGACCGAGGGACGCGCUUCGGCACGGACGCUGGCAUAAUGGUCGUAAACGAC